RNAcentral lists this ribosomal RNA (253 nucleotides) under uncultured bacterium. RNAcentral describes it as "partial 16S ribosomal RNA". It matches the Rfam family "Bacterial small subunit ribosomal RNA", at positions 524 to 776 of the family's 1533-position model. The record is from RNAcentral.
UACGUAGGGUGCGAGCGUUGUCCGGAAUUACUGGGCGUAAAGAGCUCGUAGGUGGUUUGUCGCGUUGUCCGUGAAAACUCACAGCUUAACUGUGGGCGUGCGGGCGAUACGGGCAGACUGGAGUACUGCAGGGGAGACUGGAAUUCCUGGUGUAGCGGUGGAAUGCGCAGAUAUCAGGAGGAACACCGGUGGCGAAGGCGGGUCUCUGGGCAGAAACUGACGCUGAGGAGCGAAAGCGUGGGGAGCGAACAGG